This is a long non-coding RNA of Scaptodrosophila lebanonensis, 849 nucleotides long. RefSeq lists it as uncharacterized. The record is from RefSeq and is a predicted model, not a curated record. Lineage: Eukaryota; Metazoa; Arthropoda; Insecta; Diptera; Drosophilidae. The transcript has 3 exons.
ACAAAAAAAAAACUCCUCCGGCAGUUUCAGUGGACUUCGGUGUUCCUGCCCAAGCGCUCCUGCCCAUCCUGUAGCCAGCACAGUUUGUGGCUACCCACUAUGGAGCUACGUUAUUACUCCUUAUUUUGGCCUGGUCGCCCAGGCUAUGACCUAUGACUCAGGUGGCCAAACACUCACAAAUUCUAGGCUGUCCUUCCUAUUCGGUUUUACAUAACUCUGAGAUCAAAGCUUGGCUAUUUCCUCACGAGACAGCACCGGACACACGAUGGGGCCAGGAAUCAGGGUUGCGGCGGUACCAGAACAGACUCACUCAGUUUAGGCUUCUACGGCACGUAUCCUCCGUCGUCUAUGGCGGCGGUACGGCAGAAUCCGCUGGUCGGUGGGAUAGCCCUGAAGACGCGGCUGUACGGGCUGCCGCUGACGAAGAUGCGACGAUGAGACGAUGAUGGCGAUGCGGGCGGUCAAUUCAGCCUCAACAUGCGUCGAAACGUGGUCGGCGGGACGAUUGGGCAUGUGCUGGUGGCUACCAAUUGCCCAAUAUCCAAAAUGUAGCAUAAGUCCAAAAUAAACAGACCCAGCGGCCGCUCGUCUGCUGCUGGGUCUAUGAUUAUCUAUUUUCAGGUUAUAGGUAUAUUCAAAAUUCUUUCAGGUCUGUGUCCGUGCUCCGUCCUUGCUCUUCUCAUUCACCAGCAACAAUGCCGCCACCAUCUCGCGUACCGCGUGGCUCUUUCAAAACCCUUUUGCAUCCGUUUAUUCCCAUCCUUCUCCUGCCGCCAUCUCCUACUCCCAUUUCCAGCAACCAUGGCCUGCUGCCGCAACAGCUGGCACUGUCACUUCCCGGUACCGCAA